AAUCUUAUAUUCAAUAAUGAUAUAAAAUUGCAAAUUUUAAGGAGUGUUUAAUAUGUACAUUAGGGUUU
Molecule: transfer RNA, 68 nt
Filed under: Ernolatia moorei
Lineage: Eukaryota; Metazoa; Arthropoda; Insecta; Lepidoptera; Bombycidae
Description: tRNA-Cys
Source: RNAcentral